RNAcentral lists this ribosomal RNA (274 nucleotides) under uncultured bacterium. RNAcentral describes it as "partial 16S ribosomal RNA". It matches the Rfam family "Bacterial small subunit ribosomal RNA", at positions 523 to 796 of the family's 1533-position model. The record is from RNAcentral.
AUACGGAGGGUGCAAGCGUUAAUCGGAAUUACUGGGCGUAAAGCGUGCGUAGGCGGUUUAUUAAGUCAGAUGUGAAAGCCCCGGGCUUAACCUGGGAACUGCAUUUGAUACUGGUAGACUAGAGUAUGGUAGAGGGGGGUAGAAUUCCUAGUGUAGCGGUGAAAUGCGUAGAUAUUAGGAGGAAUACCAGUGGCGAAGGCGGCCCCCUGGACCAAUACUGACGCUGAGGUACGAAAGCGUGGGGAGCAAACAGGAUUAGAAACCCCAGUAGUCC